This 774-nucleotide ribosomal RNA is filed under the name uncultured bacterium. RNAcentral's name for it is "bacterial SSU rRNA". It matches the Rfam family "Bacterial small subunit ribosomal RNA", at positions 61 to 823 of the family's 1533-position model. The record is from RNAcentral.
GUCGAGGGGCAGCGGGGGAGUAGCAAUACUCCCGCCGGCGACCGGCGCACGGGUGAGUAACACGUAUGAAACCUGCCCGUAGCAGGGGGAUAAGCGGAAGAAAUUCCGUCUAAUACCGCGUAACAACCCAUGGAGGCAUCUCCGUGGGUUUAAAGGAAGCGAUUCCGGCUACGGAUGGUCAUGCGUCGCAUUAGCUUGUUGGCGGGGUAACGGCCCACCAAGGCGACGAUGCGUAGGGGUUCUGAGAGGAAGGUCCCCCACACUGGUACUGAGACACGGACCAGACUCCUACGGGAGGCAGCAGUGAGGAAUAUUGGUCAAUGGCCGCAGGGCUGAACCAGCCAAGUCGCGUGAGGGAUGACGGUCCUAUGGAUUGUAAACCUCUUUUGUCAGGGAGCAAAGGGCGCCACGUGUGGCGUUUUGCGAGUACCUGAAGAAAAAGCAUCGGCUAACUCCGUGCCAGCAGCCGCGGUAAUACGGAGGAUGCGAGCGUUAUCCGGAUUUAUUGGGUUUAAAGGGUGCGCAGGCGGAAUGUCAAGUCAGCGGUAAAAUUUCGGGGCUCAACCCCGUCGUGCCGUUGAAACUGGCGUUCUUGAGUGAGCGAGAAGUAUGCGGAAUGCGUGGUGUAGCGGUGAAAUGCAUAGAUAUCACGCAGAACUCCGAUUGCGAAGGCAGCAUACCGGCGCUCAACUGACGCUCAUGCACGAAAGCGUGGGUAUCGAACAGGAUUAGAUACCCUGGUAGUCCACGCAGUAAACGAUGAAUACUAACUGU